AAUGAUGCUGUCCAUCUUCUUGGUAUUAUUUCCAAGGUCAGAAUGGUAGAAGCAAAUUAAAAAAGUUACUUUUUCCAUGCAUCACCUAUGAAACGCAGUUGGUUUGUAGGUUUAAUAUGUUUUCCCCAUUCAGCCUUAGAGUGAAUGCCUAUUUUCCCUAAUUCACUGCUCCUUAGAUUCUCCACCUAUAUCCGUAUCGAAUUAUUGAUGUAAAGCUUCACGUGCAUAUUGAGGGAUAAAAAGUUCUAGAGAUUUUUUGGUCAGCUUACUAGUACCCUACUUCAGUGGUUGAAUUGCUGGUAUGUAAUUUUACAAUAUGUGGUAUUCGGC
This 330-nucleotide long non-coding RNA is filed under the name Setaria italica (foxtail millet). RNAcentral describes it as "long non-coding RNA (SITA_LNC004513)". Lineage: Eukaryota; Viridiplantae; Streptophyta; Magnoliopsida; Poales; Poaceae. The record is from RNAcentral.